Molecule: long non-coding RNA, 205 nt
Filed under: Homo sapiens (human)
Lineage: Eukaryota; Metazoa; Chordata; Mammalia; Primates; Hominidae
Description: non-protein coding lnc-CCDC144A-1:12
Source: RNAcentral
UCAGAGUACAGCAAGUGGAAGUUCACCAACAGCCCCACGUUCCUGGAGCUGCUGGAGGAGUUCCCAUCCCUGCAGGUGUCUGCUGGCUUCCUGCUCUCCCUGCUCCCCAUUCUGAAGCCCAGGUUUUACUCCAUCAGCUCCUCCCAGGAUCACACGCCCACAGCGAUCCACCUGACUGUGGCCGUGCUCAUGUACCACACUCGAG